GUAGCGCAAUGGAUAGCGCGUUGGAUUUCUAAUUUAAAGGUCGUGGGAUCGAAUACCACCUCA
RNAcentral lists this transfer RNA (63 nucleotides) under Trichonephila clavata. Its description in RNAcentral is "tRNA-Arg". It matches the Rfam family "tRNA", at positions 7 to 64 of the family's 71-position model. Rfam says of the family: Transfer RNA (tRNA) molecules are approximately 80 nucleotides in length. The record is from RNAcentral. Lineage: Eukaryota; Metazoa; Arthropoda; Arachnida; Araneae; Nephilidae.